ACGGAAGGCAGCAGUGGGGAAUAUUGGACAAUGGGGGAAACCCUGAUCCAGCGACGCCGCGUGAGUGAAGAAGUAUUUCGGUAUGUAAAGCUCUAUCAGCAAGGAAGAAAAUGACGGUACUUGACUAAGAAGCUCCGGCUAAAUACGUGCCAGCAGCCGCGGUAAUACGUAUGGAGCAAGCGUUAUCCGGAUUUACUGGGUGUAAAGGGAGCGUAGACGGCAAGGUAAGUCUGAAGUGAAAUGCCGGGGCUCAACCCCGGAACUGCUUUGGAAACUAUCUCGCUCGAGUACCGGAGGGGUAAGCGGAAUUCCUAGUGUAGCGGUGAAAUGCGUAGAUAUUAGGAGGAACACCAGUGGCGAAGGCGGCUUACUGGACGGUAACUGACGUUGAGGCUCGAAAGCGUGGGGAGCAAACAGGAUUAGAUACCCUGGUA
RNAcentral lists this ribosomal RNA (434 nucleotides) under uncultured Lachnospiraceae bacterium. RNAcentral's name for it is "bacterial SSU rRNA". It matches the Rfam family "Bacterial small subunit ribosomal RNA", at positions 341 to 792 of the family's 1533-position model. Lineage: Bacteria; Bacillati; Bacillota; Clostridia; Lachnospirales; Lachnospiraceae. The record is from RNAcentral.